AAGAGGUUCGAAAUCCAUGAUCUUUUAAAGUGGUUUACUCUCGAAACGAGUAGCCUUGAUAUUGCACAUAAUAUAUCUAAGAAAGGGACCAACUGAUGCAUACAAUGCUCAAUCUCCAUUGUUCUACCCUUUUCCCAAUUAUACAAGUUACUCAAUCACUUCAUAAUGUCGAACCCAACUCCCAUCUCUCACCAAAAGACCCCAAGAACACUUUGCACAUACAACUCUUUUUCUUUGAAAUCUAUAAAGGAUUUUCUUAACUUCUAAACAAAUCUUAGCUCUAAACAACUUUGCUAGCCCCUUUUUUUUUAAUUUUGUUUUUGUUUGGGGGCCAAGACUUUUCACAAAUCGAGCUAGAAGUUUCUCUACUUAUCUCAUAAAAACUAGUCAAUUAAACACAAGAGUUCACUCUUUUCCUUCAACUUUCUCAUACUCCCAAAUCGAACUUCACAACACUCACCCCCAUCCUAUGGCUAGACAAUAAUGUGCC
This 490-nucleotide long non-coding RNA is filed under the name Brassica napus (rape). RNAcentral's name for it is "long non-coding RNA (BNAP_LNC012283)". Lineage: Eukaryota; Viridiplantae; Streptophyta; Magnoliopsida; Brassicales; Brassicaceae. The record is from RNAcentral.